AUCCAUCUGACGAGUCUUGAAUAGGACGAAACGCGCGUCCUGUGU
This 45-nucleotide non-coding RNA is filed under the name Schistosoma mansoni. Lineage: Eukaryota; Metazoa; Platyhelminthes; Trematoda; Strigeidida; Schistosomatidae. The record is from RNAcentral.